CCUACGGGCGGCACCAGUGGGGAAUAUUGGACAAUGGGCGAAAGCCUGAUCCAGCAAUGCCGCGUGUGUGAAGAAGGUCCUCGGAUUGUAAAGCACUUUCGGCGGGGACGAUGAUGACGGUACCCGUAGAAGAAGCCCCGGCUAACUUCGCGCCAGCAGCCGCGGUAAUACGAAGGGGGCUAGCGUUGCUCGGAAUGACUGGGCGUAAAGGGCGCGUAGGCGGUUUAUGCAGUCAGAUGUGAAAUCCCCGGGCUUAACCUGGGAACUGCAUUUGAGACGCAUAGACUAGAGGUCAAGAGAGGGUUGUGGAAUUCCCAGUGUAGAGGUGAGAUUCGUAGAUAUUGGGAAGAACACCGGUGGCGAUGGCGGCAACCUGGCUCGAUACUGACGCUGAGGCGCGAAAGCGUGGGGAGCAAACAGGAUUAGAUACCCUCGUAGUC
Molecule: ribosomal RNA, 440 nt
Filed under: uncultured bacterium
Lineage: Bacteria
Description: bacterial SSU rRNA
Rfam family: Bacterial small subunit ribosomal RNA
Source: RNAcentral